UUUUUUUUUGUUUGGAGCUGGAUGCUUGCACUGCGAUCGCCCCCGUGAUUCCCUCCCCAUGGGAUCACACCAAAAAUGAACAACAGCACACGAAUGUCAUGUAGGAAAAGACACGGUGUCGUGUUCUCUUCGCUGCUGAUUGUAGUGCUCUCUGCUCUCUCUGACUAGGACGGAGGAGUUAGAUUCUGCCUAAUCCCUAGUCGGACUGUACAGCUACCUGUCUGUCACUGGUGCUCCACUUGCACUAAGGACAUCGGCGAUCUGUCUGUCUUUUCUUUUUUCUGAAACAAAAAAUACCAUUUCGUUUCAGAAAAUAUCAUUCCCCAACUCCCCAUCAGCUACUAGUUUAUAUUCAGGAAAUUGGCAAGCAACUUAACGUCUCCGGUUGUUUUUUUUCUCUUAAAUACGCAGGAGAGUUACGUAUCUUAAGAAGAAAAUAAUGUUUAAAACGUUACAACGCGGGCCUGUCGGGCACACGUACACGGAUAUUAAGAAUCACACGGAUAUUAAGAAUCGCUAAGUUACAUUGAUCACAACGCUAGCUGCUGUCAUUUGUAAAUUGUAAGGAGAUGAGCUUGCUGGGGCCGGAUUGCUUCGUUUCAAUUUUCGGGCCACUCGCUGGCUGCUUGCGAUCUGAUCUGUCUGAUGAUGAUGCAAAGCAAUGCCCGCCCUGGGCUGGGCACUGUUCGGUUUGGCUGUUGCUUCAGGCAGGCCACAGGAGGCCAAGCCACCAAACAGUGGCUUGGUUCGAUUGCAAACAAACAAACAAACUCAUUUCUCUCGUUCGUUUACCUGAUCUCUCCAUGUAAUGUAGUAACAUCCAAACCUCCAAAUGGUUUGGCGUCUUGCAGUGCUGAUGGCUCUCCUGCCAUGCCACAAACACAACAGUCUCAGCUACCAUGUGCUGGGCGCCAAUGGUGGAGAGGGAUCUCGUACAAUUCAACGUCGCGCCACCCUACCGCUCUCAUAGAUACUAAUGAGUUAUUAGUCUACUAGUGGCAACUUUGAUUGGGUUUUGGCACUGCUAUACUCCUACCAAUCAUUGGCGCAACGAGUGCCCCCUGUUUUGCUCAUCCAAUAUUUCUCAAGCCAAACCUUACUAGUAUUAGUGUUUCAUCUCACUCCAAAACCAAGCAAACCUUCUGCUUCGCAAGGACAUCAUCGGCCUGCAUCCAGUUUUGAGUACAUGAACGCCGUUUUUGCAAAUGUUUAAUUGCCUACUAGAUACUAGAUUGCAACUGAAAUAGAUGUUGCCAGAGUACUCUGAGUUUUGAAUUGUUGUACUGCACGCUUUCCCGCGGAUUGUGGUGCAAGCGCAACUGUGCAGAUCAGCUGUCGCCUUAGCUUUUCAGGCCCAACUUUUGCUUCCUCUGAUCACUGGAGUUCUGUUCUGACUUGCUAGCUGUGCUAUUUCACACUUGCACAGUGUAUAUGCAUCUUACGGCCCCUUUUUUGACGAGAGGCUGCCGUGAAUGUUGGUCUGGGCAUUCGUUCCGCGGGGGGGGGGGGGGGGGGGGGGGGGGGGGGGGUAGGAAAUAACUUAAAGUUGAACGCACAGCAUUCGUACACGAAACGGCCACACAUUCAAACGUCGUCAGUGCUUGUUCAUGUGUUGGCGGUACACGAAGGACCCGAAACCAGCUUGGCAGCGUCAGGAAAUGAUGGUCAGGUAUAUAGUACUCCAACCGACUGGUACCGCGACUGCCUGACGCUUUCAAGGACGACGCCAACAAACAGAAAAGGGACGGACCCUGGCAGUGCCAUGCCAUGCAAUGCAUCUCCCCGGUGACGAUGUGUUCAAGCAACAUUCGGAAAGAUCAUGAGAGAACGAUGGGUAACGACCAACCACAUGAUCAGAGAUUCUCAGAGUGUACACAUCGACAGGGAUGACCGACCACAGCUGAAACUAAGCUCUCUCUCAACCGCUAGCAAUAUACAUUCAUUCAGCAGUCAACAGCUACAUCUGCACUACCUCACGCAGGAUCAAUCAAGCUCGCAUUAUGGAUAUAUAGUAUCAGCUAACAAGCACCGUUCGAUGUUGUCAUGACACAAAUCAAAUCAGUUGCACGCACGCAUUGGCCCAGAGCACUCGUCAGUCACUCUUUCUUGGCAGGUUGGAGAUGACUCUGCUGUCUGAUGAAGCUGGAGGAGGAGGAGGCAGGGGAGGGAGCCGAGGAAGCGAGCGCCACGAGCAGGUCCACGAAGGCGCCUACGAUGAGGCCGUGCGUUUUCUUGCCGUUGGCCCUGAGAUACCAGCCGAGCAUCUCCUCCAGCCAUCCCCAGUCGUUUACGCCGUGGCUCAUCACCAUAUCCUCCAUGGACCGCCGGAAGUCGCCGUACGGGUCGGCGGACUCGAUGGCCAGCGCCGUCGCCCCGUCGAACGCCGCCGCAGUGGCCGCCCCCCGUUGCUUCUUCACCUUCACGAUGGAGCUCGUGGAGUCGGGCUCGAAGAAGAGCCUGCUGUUGGACCGGAGCCCGUGGAUGAUGACCUCGUCCUCGUCCGCGACGGCGGCGGCCGGUUCCGGCUCCGGCGCCGUGGAUAGGGUCGGGCAGGAGUCGUCUGAGAUGAGGCUGCAGGAGUAGUUGUCGUCGGCGGCCGGGUAGUCGAUGGCGUAGGCCGGGUUCAUGGUCGUCUUGUACUCCUCUUCGUGCUUGCUGCUGUCGUCGCGCAUGGACACGAUCUCCGGGCUGUCGCGGCGGAAGGACAGCGUCCUUGCCUGCGUGCACGAUGGCCACUGCCACGACGCCGCCGUGCUGAAGGAGGCGGCGGACAUGGAGGUGGAAGAGGAAAGGCACCGGCUCGUCUCGCUGGUGUUGAAGAAGAGGGAGGUGAGCGCGAGCUUCUUGACCAUGGUUGUUCGAUCUUGCGCGGGCUGGUGAUCGAGUAGCUGGAGAGGAAGCUGAUUGGGGCGAGGCCGUGAGAGUGUGAAAACGAGGUGGCUGGCUGGUGUCGAGGGGCAGGGAGCGAGCUGUUUUUAAAGGGAAGAGGUGGGCGGGUAGGAAGCCAAGGGAGGGACGAAGAUGCGAAGGAAGAUGCAUAGCUAGGUGUGGCGGUGCGUGCGCGUGUCUUGCGUUCUAGUGUGCGUUGGGAGUCUACGCUUGUCUCCCAGGCCUCAUCUCAUCUUUCAGGUUCAGUUGAACUAUCCACCCUGCAGGUAACCUAAAGCAUUGGCAAGGAUCUCCAAUGAACAUGUUGUACAUUCUUAUAGUAGGAUAUAUAAAGUGCGGAUGUAGACUACUACUCUGUUUUUAAACAUAGGAAGCUUGUUACUUAGUAGUAUAAUAUAUAUAUAUAUAUAUAUAUAUAUAAGAUCUAAAUGUUCAUGAUUAUGGAUAUUUAGUAAUUAUUACAUGGGAAAAGUGAUAUUUCAAACGGAAUGACCUUUUAAAUUUUAUGCUAGUGUCCAAAAUAAAAUUUUAGUGAUGUCAUUUGUGUUCUUUUACCAUGAUACCCUUAUACUAUCUAUGCUACUCAUGUAUAUUACCCAUACCACAGGUGAAGAUUUCAGUAGUAUACAAUUAAUUUUGACCAUCGGAUAUUUGUAUACUAAUCUUUUUUUUAACACUAGUAUAGUUUAGUAUUGUGUACCGUAAAAGAGCUCACGUCAUAAAUCUAAAAACCGGACAGAGUACAAGAUUUCUUUUGCAGCAUUUCUCCAUGGAUAUUACCCUAUGGAUGGUACAUUAUGUCGAAUUAGCAUUGUUCAGUGAACAAGCAUGCAUGGUAGGGAGUUGCCGAUGCCAGUUUAUGUCCUACAGGUGGCAUGGGCAAACAUUGCAGAUGAUUGGUUGAAGAUCUUGGUCAACUUUGUGGCUGAUCUCCAUCCAAAAGAAGGAUCAAAUAAUCCACACAGGAUAGUAAUGUCAUUUCCUUUAUUUUCAGGUCUGCCGACGAUCAGAUGUGCUACUAUUAGCAAUUCAGAGACCAACUGCCUGCGCCUUAGUUUAGUGCAGGCGGUUGCUCUCUACCAACAGUAGAGGAAGAAAGAGCAACGUCGCUUCCCCCAACACCUCAAAUCCUGCAGGACACGCUUGCGGUGCCAGGCAGCAGCCUGAGGAUCACACAACUGAAUUCUCCAUUAUUUUUUUUAGUCUGCUCGUGCACGACAACGAAAUACUUCCAGAAGCUCACACGACGGUGACCAAGUUUUCUUUCUUUCGAUGAAGGCGACGGUGCGUGCCCGGCCAACAUGGCAGCAAAUGGAUUGCAACGCAAGGUUCUCCAUCAUUGUACACGGACAGUAGCUAGGGUGGUUGCGGGUGUCUGAAAAAUUGAAGAUAGAGAUGGAUGCGCAUCGCACAGAGGGAAUGGUGAUCGAGGGACAUGCAAAGGUGCUCGUUCCUCUGAAACUCUACUUUUUGCUUGGUUGCCGCUUGAGAGAAUUAUAUGAAUGGUGGGCUUGCAGAGAGGGGUGUGUGAUCGCGACCUCACCUUAUCCAGGAUCAAAGCCCAUCUGUCAUGUCGUCUCAAGCUGCCUAGCCCUACCUGGUCUAACCAGGUCAAGAUGCUCUCUUCUCCUCUCCCUUCCACUGUCACAGACAAAAAGUGUUGUAUUACUGACCCAGAUAUCAGAGAUUCUCUUAGGCUAAAGCAUAAUUAGCCAAAGUGAAUAACUGUAGAACCUGAACUGUCCUUGAGAGCCAAGGUCAGGCGCCUGGAUUCAUUUACCUGAGAUUCCAAUGUCUCCACUUUCCCAAUCUUCUUUUGAGAAAGUCAGUUUUCCAAUCUGAUAUGAGGAUAAAGAAGAAAGUGCGUACCUGACCAAUCUGAAGUUCUGAACCACACAAAGGAGUAGUACUUCCUCUGAGAGGUUUAAGUUUAACUGACAGGAAGGAAUGGCAAGACCUAGAAGCAAAGAUAUGUAUGAGAUGAGAAAUAAAUGCCCUCUUGAUAUUUCAGUUCUUCUUUGCAGCUAUGGUGGCAACCACUUGUUGAAGAAAAUUCCUUGUGUAGAGCCAACUUGCCAUUUCUUAUAAUAGCACUGUUGCACUGGCAGUACUAUGCAAGUUUCCCGAAUAUCCAGUUAAAAAAGAAUAGUGGCGACAGAAACUUCGGAGCAUUUAUGCAAGUCUGGCUAACCAUGAGGCCAAAUUUAUAGCUCACCUCUCUAAGGUUUCCUUUCUCCAUUCUUUCUUCAGUGGUUGCCUCAUCCAUCACCCUCGUCACCAUAUGAAUCAGAUAUCCAUUCUACUAUCGAUGCAGCUAGCAUUGGCUCAUGCAGGUCCGUCAGAAAAUCACACCAUUCAGAGAGGCAGUGAGGCCGUCGUUACUACUUACUAGUCAUGUCGUACAAAGGCAGCAAAAUCUUCUCCAGGAUCUUAUACAGAAGAAGAGCUGGAAUAAUUGGCGCUUCCAUAGACUUGCAUUGCACAACACGAAGUUAGCGACAAGAGGAGACCACGGCGUUGUCCUGAAUGCGACGGAUCGACUAAUCUAACAGAGCUCCAUACCUGAGGAUGACCAGGAGCUCAUAUCAUUCAGUUUUAGCUGGAUGUUGUUAUCUUCAGCAACCAGCCUGUUAUCGCCUCUCGAAUAUUUGUAGUUAAGUUACAUUGGUUUACUGAAUGAUCGGUGAUUGAAUUACUGCCAAAUAUCGGCGUUGUACUAUCUGGUCGGCGGCAAGGCUGAUGCCAUUGCCUACCUGUAUUACUGCAGGAUGCUGCAGUCUGCAUAGGACAAGCCCAGGUGACUGUAGGUGAAAGCCUGUAUGCUGUACUGUUUGCAACAGUAUUAAUGACAGUUGGAUCAUGCAAAAACACAUCUCGGACGCUUUUGUUUUAUAUUUCACUCACAAUUUUUGCGAGGGAGCACAUCUCAGAUUGUCUGAUGCUAUAUGCAGCAGCUUUCCAUCAUGUAUUCCACACGCUGGAUGCUGCAGGAUAUACUAUGGCCAGCCAGUGUCAGGCAUAAUGCUUCACGUUCCAAUUCGAUUUUACACAAAGUAAAAUUUGGGAGACCAGUUUGAAUGCAUUCCCUGCCUGCAAUCUGUCAGAUCAUCCUUUUGAUACGCCAAUUUAACUUCUCAGUUCGAAACAAGGAACGAUGGAAAUUUAGUUUCGAAAUGCUUCACAAAGAACUUUUGUGUUGACUAUAGGAAAGAUGUCAGCUUCUAUAAUCACGAGAGAAAAGAUGCACUGUUGCAGUAUCCGUAGGGCUCUUGCUAACAAUAACAGAUCCAAUGCUGUGAAACAUGCAGAAAUGCAGGUUCCCGAGAGGCAAACAGGGGUCUAGGAACUGUUGCUAUAAAGAUCGCCUGGAUUGGUAGGAAAGGACUAGUUAAGGACUCCCCAAGUACUGUGUUGAUGUGUUCCCUUUUCCCAGCUCAAUGAUGGAGCUUUCCUGUUUGCUAAUCACGAUUGAUUUUUUUUAAGUGGGGACAAAGGCAAUGGCAAAUGUAAAUGAUGAGGUGCAAUAAUACGAAACAUGUCUUAUGUAUCCACUGUGUAUACUAUUCCUUGCCUGCUAUCAACUGCAUGGACACGACAGCUACACACAGAAAAUUGAGAAAUAAAAAAAAACGAGGGCAUCAAAUCUUGCUUCUGAGGCUUUGAAUCUCAAUUGGCCGUGCUGUUGCUGACGCCUACAGGCGAUUUGUUUUGUAGCCAUAGGAUGCAUCUGGGCUUUGUUCAUUUGCCAGGCUCAAUCCAAAGUGGAUUGUGGAUUGGUUGGCCACCAAGGAGCAGGAUUCACGUGGGAAGUACUCCCUCCAUUCUCCAUUCUCUUUUCUCUUUGAUAUAGGGUUAUUUCCAAAUCUGAAAAAUUCUCAUUUGAUAGCCUUAUUUCAAUCCAUCCAUUUAAUAGAUGUUUCGGGCCUCAUGCGCGACCCUUCAUUCCUCCAUGUGCCGGCUACGUGGGUAUCAAGAAGUUCGAGCCUUAAUGAAUCGCUUGUUUACGAGUAAUAACUAAUGGCAUGGUUAAAUAGAUGAUAAGCAGGAUUCCUUGGUCACUGUGCUAAGGUGAAAUAGGACUAUCAAAAUAGAAUGGAGGGAGUAACCUUUUAGAAUCUAAAAUUUGUCAAUCCUUUUAGAAUCUAAAAUUUGUUCCACAAAUAGUGUCUUUUUACCUCCUAGUAAAUCCCAUCUAAUUAAAGAAAAUACUCACACCAAUAAAAAGAGUAUAUGGAAAAGCGCAUAGAGCCAAUCAAAUGAUCCAUUGAUAAUAUUUCUCUGGUUCCAAUGCACGUGCAUUUAUUUAGGAUCCAGAAAAUUAAACAGACAACAUAAUUUUCAAUCACAAUUAGUAUUAGUUAUUUGGGGUAAUAUGAACAUUUCUCAUCACUACUAUUGUAUAUGAACAGACACUCUUUGCGGGAUGGAGGGAGUAAGGCAUAGCUGCAUUCCAAGAACCCGAGAACCUAGCAUAGUUCCCUUAAACGGCCAUUGGCUCAAUUAAAUGGGGUAAUGGCCCAAUUAAAUGGGGAGUAGAUCAUUUUAGUAUUUAUAGAUUCAGAACUUUUUCUAUACAUCUAAAUAUAUGCUAGAAAAGUUAAAACAAUCUACAAUUUAGAAUGGGCGGAGUAUAUGCUAACCGCCUAUCUCCGUUUAGCCAGUUUUUUAGCUCAUUUAUAUGAUCGUUAAACGGGAGCGUCUAGGUCAACACUCGCCUUGGAGAAAAAACGAGAGGAAGAGAAAAGGUUGAAAGAAGAAGACAAGACAAGGAAAACAACAACAAUAGCUCGAAACAUGAGCAAAGCCCGGCCCAAGCUGAAAAAAGCAGGCUUAUCUUUAAUAGACGAAUCCUGAUCUCGGGCAUUCCGCGAGCCCUCGUUGAACCACGUCAUCAGCUAAUCCGAACCGUCCGUUUCCCUGCAUUACUCGAUCGGGCCGUCGGAGGCGCGGGCGUCGCGACUCCUCGCCGCCGCUUCCAUCACGCCUGUCCCUCCCCCGCACGGCGCAACGCGCCCUUCUCCGCCAGACGGUGGCGGCGCGGCGCGAGGAGGCUGCCUCCUAGCAUUGGUGGCGGAGACCCCAAAGAGGAGAAGUCACCGGCGGUUUGAUGUCGGAGACAGAGAGCGGCGCAGCUGGAGCCACGACGCCAACGCGCCUCGUGGGCUGGGGCGCGGCGUCCGGCCUCUUUCCCCGGGCUCUCACGAACCCGUUCAAGCUGAGCGACUCAUCUCCCCCGCGUCGCAACUCGCAAGCACGGAGAAGCCGCCGCCCUCUGCCUGCCCCCGCCGCCCACGCAUUUCUCCGCCUACGGGCUGCGGCUCGCGUGCGCCUCUCCCCGCUAACCUCGGCUCUCCACCUGCCACGCUGCCCACCCCGCCCGGCCCUUCCCUUUGCCGCGGUCGCGGCCCCGCCGCCUCGUCCCCUACCUCGCACAGCACGGCGUGCGUACUCUCGCAUGGUCCCCGGGGGCGUCGUCGGGACGCCAAGUUCAGCCCCAGCCUGCCACCACUCAGACGCACACCACGUGUUUGACAUCAGGUCUCAAGGUCGACCACAACACCAAAUCCAUCAGCGUUUCAGCAGCAGGGUUGACAAAGCUCUCGACAUCAGCCGGCGAAUAAUGACGAGGUCAGCCUUCAACACGUGUGUAAUUGAGAACCAAAAAACAUACUCACGUUAUGAGGCUUAAUCAGGGGAGUUCAGCUGCUUUGCUGUUGGAUUUGGAGGGCACGAUCCAGCUGUCAGGGAAUGCAGGCUUCAAUUUCCUCGAUUUUAGAGGCCUGAGAGCCAUUGUAUUAUUCACAUUACUCGUAUAAAUAUUGCUUCUAAAAUUUAGUUCAAUCGUAUCUGUUGUAUUGUAUAUAUGAUGAUAAAAUUGGAGAAGUGCUCACUUUGUGCUGAGCUGCUGAUUAUGCAUCUUUAUUAUACAAUUCUGAAGGAUAUAAGCUUGAUUACAAAUUUAUAUCAUGAUUGCAGGCAAAUCUACUGAUCGCUCAGUUGGAAUUCCUCAACGAGGAAGGACCACAACCUGAGCUCUGAACGCGGUAAGCUCCAGUUCUUAUGCAUUGUUACUUUCUUUCUCGCCUAGGAUGAUAGAUCGUGCUUCCUGAACAGCGCAGUCAAUAAAGCUUUUUGUUCGCAGAUAACAAUCAUUCAAAUUGUUGUUAAUCAAGCUCUGAACUGGAUGUCUCUGAUGAUACCUGCUGAAAGUUAAAUGUUUUCCACAUUAUAAAAUCACAACAGCUGAACUGGAUGUCUCUGAUGAUACCUGCUGAAAGUGCCCACCAGUUCACCACUUUGGUUUUUUAAUUUAGGUUUCCCUGAAGAGAAGGAUUUCUAUUUGAUGGAGCCCAACCCCUUGGAAAAAGUGUCCUAGUCCAUCUAUCUCUGAAUCUUCUUUGUUGCAUCCUACUGGGCAACAAUCUGCAGACAUUAGAACUGCAGAUUUGCAUUUUGGUAGAAUAUAUCAGGAAAUACCAUAAGAAGGUAGUCAAGAUAGAUAUGCAGGUUUUGCAAUUUUGCAUCAAUUCAACUUUUACUUCCUAAUAAUUUCCUUAAUUGUUUUUUUUUAAAGAACAACGCACAAGAUAGUGCGUGUUUCAUUGAUAUAGCAGAAAAUUAGGUAGGAAAAGGAAAAGAAAAGGAAAACAAAAAAGAUUCACCCGGUUGGAUUGGGACAUCAACGCGGGUCACCACUCAACUCAAAACCAGCACACCCGACCGGUUGGAUUGGGACGUUAACGCGGCCUCCCCACUCCAUUCACCACGGCGGCAUCCACCAACAAUCACGCUCAUCAAUUUGCCGAAACCUCCAAGCGUGGCCCUGUGUCGACACCGAUAGAAGCAGACUGCGCUGCACCGAGAAGGCCACCGCCAUGCGGAACCCUCCUCCUUAAUUGUUAGACUCUUAUAGUCAGGCUAAUGUAUAGAAAAAAUAGAAAAUAUAAGAUUAUGUUAUGUCCACAAUGUCUGCUAAAAGUGCAUUAACCUGGGUGUGCUGAAAUCAGGAUAACAGAGUGGUGAUAGGUUUAUUCUGUUAUCAAAAUGUUUAAAGCCAUGUAAAAGAGGGAAGGCAUAAACUUAAUUCAGUAUAAAGAAUUGCGUUCCCAAAGGAAAUUGGCAUGGAUAUGCUAACAUAAGUUGCCAAUGCGACUCAGUAACUAGUAUAUUAUACAUUUGUUCCACUCACUUCUCACGGAAAAUAUAAUUCUAUUUCUUUCCAAUUGAUCCAGGCAGUGGAAUUAUCACACAACAUAAUAACUUAACUCAUGGAUCCAUAAAAAAUUAAAUACGGCUUACCUAGGGUGGCGCGGCCCGGGUUUUCUAGUUUAGCCUAAAAUUCGUAUCCACAACUAUCCUAUGGGUCCGUUUUCUGAACCGGGCUCAAGUUUCCCAUUCUUUUUAAUGAGAAAAUAAUUAGAAUAAAUUAUUUGGGUUGGUCUUUGCCCAAGCCCGACUGUAGCGGGCCAGAUGAAAAGCAUGUUGGUUUCGGGGCUCGAUCCAGGUUAAACUAGGCCAAAAAUUGCUUAGGUCUAAGCUAGAAAAUCAGGUCCUAAACUCAUGUGUAGGGAAGGGGCAAAACGACCAUGUGUCCUACGGAUGACUCUUGUCAUUAGCUUAAGCAUUCAUUGAUGAUGGUAAACCAGUUGGUGACCACUUGCAAGAAGAGGUGGCAUAUCUUUGCAUGGGGAAAAGGAGAGAGAACAGGAGGAUUUGGCGAAAGAAGAAGCAACCGACCCUGGUCGAUGGGUGAGUGUUGAGGCCAUAGGUUGGGAGACAGUGACGGCGGAGUGCUGCCCUGCCCAUCACCAACAACUCAUAACAACGCAGAAAGCAGAGGUGGGCACGAACUCACUCUGUGUUGGCGUCGUCAAGUCCCUGGAGACGGGGGAGUUGGGCGUCGUCGGCCUGCUGUCGCUUGCAUGUAGCGCAAGCAACCCACAUGGGUUUGUUUUUUCCUUAUAAGAUGGGUUAGCGUUUGGCUACUAUAUGUGACAAGGAGACAUCAUCAUUUGGCUCGUCGGUGUCUCGAUUCAUCUUAGAACGAACCUUGUCGAUGAAGACCUGACAAGGUAGAUGCAGAUGGAUUCCUUCACGUUCAGGGGCCAGAGUCUGAACUGAGAUGCAAAGCCCUGCAGACAAGCUGGUACUGGUUGUUUUCGAAAGAUCGCCCUCCCUCUUGAUUUCGUGGCUUGCAUGACGUUCUUGGCGUUUCAUUUUUGCAUCAAAGAUACCACUCAGUAUGCCUUGGACAGAGACGCCUUAUUCAUCGUUCGGUGUGAUACCAAACGAUCUGAACUGAAAUUCUUAGAUGAAUUAUGAUGCGGUUGAGCAGAGAUGUAGCCGUGGCAAACCAAGAUUAAGCCCAGCUGCAUGAUUCCCUUCAGAUGGAAUGUCGGCGUCUCAUGGAUUUUUCGCGUCCCCACCGUUCACUGUUUACCGCACGAAACGAAAAGAGAAAAAGUUUGGUGCUUGUCAGCUGCAAGGCAUCUCGUUCAAAUUCUGAAGCGGGACAAACUUUUGCUCAGCCUUUUGUCGAGAUAGGCUGACUGAUGUGAAAUCUCACGUCUGUUUGGGUCGAGUUCUCAGCCUGACAGGCACAAAAUCUUGAGCUGGUGUAUGGAUACAAGGAACAGUACCACUGUACCCGUGCCUGGUGCUGAUGACUUCACUUCUUUUCACGCUGUUUCAAGAGUGGCGAAAUCCACACCCGUUUUCAAGAGUGUGUGGCAACUGGCAAAGCAAACGAUGAAACGAAUGCUGACGGACGGUGCAUGCUGGUGCAGUUCGGCUGGCGGGGUUUCCGUGCUAAAAAUGAGACCCGAAAAUGCAGUUCAAAAAUUUUGUAUAAAGCUCAAUUACCUUUUGUUUUGUUUUGAACAUAAUUACUUUUUACUUGGAUCCUAUCAUUUGCUGCACACUUAAAAGGGCAUGGCAAUGGUAUGCUGCUCCGAUUUGGUUGGUCAGCACUGAGCAGCAAGCAGGAACAAAGGAGGUUUGACGACGUGCAGACAAGCAUGCCGCUACCCUAGUGUUAUUCAAAUGCCUUGGUUCAAUUGGGGCGCACCUUUUGCAAUACUUUGAACCGGCACCCAUCUUGACCCCUAGCUCAAUCAUGUCCUGGAACGACGUCACGUACGAAUGAAUUCAACCUGAUUAACGAAGAUUGACAAGAGUGGAAGUCAUGAAUGGGUGCAGAGAUAUUAUGUGAAUUUUUUAGGUUAGCACUAGAGUACGUAGCAUAGAGUUUCAGUUGUUGUCAGAAUAAAGAAGUGGCGACUGCGGCGUAACCGUCGAUCGGCGGGAAUAAAAUAGAAAUCGAGUUCGAUAAUUGCGUGUACUAAAUUAGUAGUAAAGCAAUGCAGAAUUGGUUGACCCUGUUCCGUGGAAUGCUUGCCUGCCCAAGUCACCGGUUGGUUACCAAAUAAUAUUAGUGUUGUUAGUCUUUUGUAAAGCGAAAGCUGCUGCCUGGGUCGUCUGCAAAAAAGGGGGUGAAUAAUCGGAGUCAAAAGUCGUGUUGAAAGAACCGAUUGAGUGAUGGAAUGCACUGUCCCUGGCCACUCUCCUCUUCCUUUGAGACCAUCAUGUUCACCAGCAAUCCAAGGAGAGAGCAAGCAGUAGUAUGGCUGAGGCUGUCCAGCUUCUAAAUUUUCUCUCGAGCUUGCUGACAUACUCCAUCCGAGAGUACCUAGCUCUCCUGCGCAUAGGUAUUAGAGGUAUUAGAACCGGACCGGACCGAUGGUUCGACCAGCAAAAGACCGAACCAGAGCCUACAACAGUUCGGUGUUCGGUUUGCUUAAAAGACCGUCCCUGCAAUCGAACCGGUAAAAAUCAGCCCAAGCACCAUUUAUCGUACAUACAUCUAUGGGCCCACCAGAAGAUUUGGAUAGUCCUCAAUGUGGGGCUGAAUACCAAGACGCAUCUGACAUGGAGAUCAUGGCGCAGGAUGGCGUAGUCUGCAUGGGAAGACACGAACUAGUCGAGGAUUAGUAAAGUACUCGUUGUAAUAAGAAUAGAGCUCCUCUAGUCGUAUCCGACUAAUAUUCUUGUAAAUCAACCGACCUGUAACCCUAUCCCCGACUAUAUAAGGCGAGCUAGGGACCCCUCCAAAGCAAUUCAAUCCAACCAACACACAGGAUGUAGGGUAUUACGCUAUUUAGCAGCCCGAACCUGUCUAAAUCGUGUGUCUGCGUUUAUCUUCGAGUUCCUGAUUUCGACAAGCCCCACCAACCUAAAUACUACUUCGGGCACCCCCUUGGUAGGAUGCCGGGUCUAAACACCAACAGCUGACAUGCCAGGUAGGGGAUCUUGUCGAGAAUCCGCUGGCGAACUCGAUGGCACAAGUCAUCAUCAAGCCCGUCGUCACUUUCAAGGAAGGUGCGACGUCCAUUUUUGGCUCCUGGAUCUGCGUCACAGACGGCGUCGGAAGUUUCUGCUGCUACAUCGCACCAGCAAUUGUGGCUCCUUCUUCGUACUGAAUUUCUUUUUCUUCUCGCCAUCGGCAGUCUUGGAUCCGGCGGUCUUCCUCCCUAUCCUUGAUGCCAUGAGCGUCUUCAGUCGCAUACGCUCGGGGGCUAGAAGGGAUGGAGGGCGGCGAUGCAAGUGCUCAGAGAUUGGGCAGUGGCGACAGCACUAAGGUUACAAUACAGAUGUUGGAAAGGCAAAUGGCAAGGGUAAAAUGGAAGGGAUGAACUUCCUUCGUUAUUUAUAACAGUGGCACGGUAAAAAUUGUGCAAGUGAAUGGUUUUCGAUUUAUAGGAUCCCCAAAAUUUAGAAGAUUUGAUUGGCAGUUGCCUUUAUUUCGGGAGGAGAUAAGAUCUCUUUCCAGAGAUGGUCACGUCGACCAAAGGUUGAUCCUUAUACCCACCAAACUAGUUGGCUAAAGGCUCGAGGACUGUGUACCACGUGUCCAUCGAUAGAAAGUUUUUCUCCGGAUUUUAAAGGGAAAGUGAUGCUAAUUACAGAUUGACCUUCAGCCUGAUUCUUCGAUUCUACCUAAGGCUCGAGGCUACUCCAUAUGAAGUGUGAUUUCAAUAAGAAUUCAAGAUCAACAUUACAAAGUUGAGUUCAAAGAGGGUUUGAGCACCUUUUAGGCUCAUUACAGUUUUUUUUGCACCUUUGAAGAUCUAACCAUAUGAAGUACUCGAGGAGUAUCAAGAGUAGUUGGUGGAGACUUCAAAAGUACUCGGUUUUGCUACAUUUGGCUAAAAAGUAUUUGGGAGCUUGUCGUACAUACAUCUAUGGAUCCACUAAAAGGUUUGGACAAUUCUAAAUAUGGGGCUGGACACCGAGACACAUCUGACAUGAAGACCAUGGCGCAGGGCGACGUAGUCUACGUGGGAAGACAGGAACUAAUCAAGGAUUAGGAAAGUACUUGUUGUAAUAAGAGUAGAACUCCUCUCCUCUAGUCAUAUCCGACUAGUAUUUUUAUAAAUCAACCGACCUGUAACCCUGCCCCCGACUAUACAAGGCGAGGCAGGGAUCCCUCCAAAGCAAUUCAAUCCAACCAACACACAGGACGUAGGGUAUUACGCUAUUCAGCGGUCCAAACUUGUCUAAAUCGUAUGUCUGCAUUUAUCUUCGAGUUUCUGAUCUCGAUGAGCCUCACCAACUAGAAACACUACCUUAAGCACCCCCUCGGUAGUUGCCGGAUCUAAACAACGACAUCCUUCUCGUCUCCGUUCCGCUUCUGUUGCUCGCACACGCUGGGUCGCGUGGCGGCGGCAGCAGCGGAUUGGCGGCACAUCAUGACCAAGCGGCGGCGGGCGUUUCUCCUCCCGCAUCCCUGUUGCCCUGCCCGUUGCUUGCCGGCUGCGGCCGCCUGACCCCUGCUCGUUCUUCGCCGGCAGAGGCCUCUCGUCUCUGAGGCCGAAGGCCCUGGCAACGUAGCUGGCAUUCAUUUCCUUUCUUGGCUGAUAUCUCGGAGCAGCACUUCCUUUCCACCGUACCAUGCAGAUGUAAGCUAGGUAGCCCCAGGCUCAGGCCUAGCCUCGGCAAUAAUCUCAUUAGCAUGCAGUCCGUGUUCUUCCCGUUCUUCACCAGCAACAGGCGAAGGGCAAAGGUCAGUAUCCAAAGUGCAUACUCGAACUAUUCCAUUUGUAUAUUGUUGGCCUGCUUCUGCUUGCGUCGAUUGGACAUUGGAGUGGAGAUUAGCCGGAGUAGGAUCUUGGCAAGAUGGAAGUUUUUAUUAGCUAUGAAUCUAUGAUAUUCUAGUGAUAUAUUGGCCAUGCUUCUCUGGACUCUGAAGAAAGGAUGCCAACUUGGAAAUUUGAAUGGAGCUAUUGUGGCCAUAUAUUAUAUUUGUGUUAUUUAUGUGAACUAUAUAAUGGUAAUUAUCAAUUGUAUAAGUGUAUAUAGCACUGGUUCAAAAUUUCUUGUUGCCGGUACAAUUCAACGGUCCAAAAUUAUUGAACCACUGGUUCAACCGGUUCCUAACAGUGAACCAUUGAACCGAAGUCCUACCAGUUCGAUGACCGGUCCGAUCCUAAUAACUAUAACUGUGCUCCUGCGUAUUUGAGUGAGGGGAAAAAAGAACUACUGGAUUCGAAGCGUUCCAGGCGGGGGUUCCUUGUGUUGACUGGAGCCAACGAGGCCAAGUCACGGUGCUGCUGGUCCGUGGUGGAAUCAAUCGGAGCAGCGUCGGCGUCGGCGUCGCCGUUUCCGUUCCCCCCACCCCUCACGCGUUCAAACAUUCCACGGACCGACUGCCGGUCAACCGCCAACGGCACUGUCCUCUCUCUGCUCUCCAACCAAGUGGGUUUUCACUGUUGCGGCCGGCGAUCAUUUGGUUUCAUUUCAAACUCAUUUUCUAAUUGGACGGCCUUGGCAGGCACUGGAGACUUCGCACGCCAGGGCCCUGCUCCAACUCCGCUGCUGCUGGAGCGGAGGAUUUCUUUUCCUUCCAGCGAAACAGAGGAAUCAUAAAACUCGUGAAAAUUAACCAAUCAAAGAACCCUUUUUUUCUCUCUUCGUGUUAAUUAUUGUCCCGAAUUCAUUUCGGGAGAGGAGCAGCAAAUGCGCUGCUCUGUACAAGAGAGGAGAAGAGACAAUCAUCUGUUCUUGGCGGUGUCUUCGAGCUCGAGGCCGAAGAGCACGCCGGCGCAUAGCUCCGUUGUGCCUUCCUUGGCGAAGUAGAGGCGCUUCAUCUGCCGGAACGUGUCCCAGGUGAGGAUGCUGUCGGACGCGGCCUGGUGGCACCGCCCCGCGGCGCGCCUCACCUCGAGCGCCGCCGCGACGCGCUCCAGCCCGCCGAAGAGCCCGCCGCAGAAGCGCAUCAUGUGCUUGACGUCGUACACCUCGGGGCCGAAGUAGACGCGCACGUAUUUCAAAAACUCGGGCAGCGAGCGCGGGAGCUUGCGGCCCAUGAGGAUCUUGACGAGGUAGGCGAAGUCGUAGGCGGAGUGGAAGGUGACCCAGGCCACCUCCGGGUUGCACACCAGGCCCGACGACAUGAGCAGCGCCGCGAAGGCGCGCGCGCUGACGCCCCUGGCGCGGUGCGCGGCCAGGUCGAGGCCGCUGGAGGCAAGGAGCUGGACAGAGUCCGGGGCGUGGCGGUGCACGCGCGGGUCGAACUCGCGGAGGUUGACCUCGAAGGCGAGGGCGGGCGGGGAGGUCGGGGAGGCGGCGAAGGUGAGGCCGACCUGGAUGAGGUGGAGCGCGUCGACGUUGGACUUGAUGAGGGCGUAGCGCUCGGCGGGGGUCAUGGCGGCGGGGUGCUUGGAGGGGCGGUGGAUGACGCCCGGGAACUCCGUGUCCAUGGACACGUAGGGGAAGUGCUCGAUGGCCGCGCGGAUCAGCUUGAACUCGCGGUCCACGUUGUCCGCCCACACCUGGCGGAUCUCUAGCUGCUGAUGCUGGUGCUGGUGAUGCUGCUUCUCCCUCCACCCGCCGGCGGCCAACUCCUCGGAAGGCAUCUUCUUAAUUCUUCUUCUUUUCCGAUCGGUCGAUCAAAUUCUCAAUUGAGGCGAAUUGAAUUUUGACGGAUCCCUUCGUCUUCGCCAAACUCUUCGGAGGGGAGAUGAGAAGAGAAUUUGAGGCUUGGGAUGGUUGGGUGGGCUUGCUCGGCGAGGGAAUUUAGGGAUUGCGGCCAUGGUCGCCGGGGUUUUAUAGGAAGGAUGGAUGGAUGGAUGGAUGGGGCGAGGGGGCGGAACGGGGCAGGAGGGUGCGGGGAAUUGUACAAGGAAGGCGGCGGGCGCGCGGAGAUCCGUGCGACAGGGGUCGAUCGACGGUGGGUGGGGCACGACGCGUUUAUGGCGUGCGGGCGACGAGGAAGGAAACUAUAAAUGAUUGGGGUGCCGUGCGUCCAGGUUGACCGACCGGACUUGUACCAGAGCACAACAUCAAGGAAGGAAACUGGCCACCCCUGGCAAACCAGUCCAAGUGGUUUCCAUUUUUUCUUUCCUUUUUGUUGGAGGCCACGCACCUGGACUAGCAGAAAGAGAUAGUAGAGGAGGGGAUGUUGUGUUCAAGGCAGGUCGACUCGGUCUGCAUUAAACAAACACUUUGGUUCAAUUCUUUUCGUUUUAUUUUAUUGCGUUGUCAAGGUAGGCACGGUGCGUCCCUGGAAUUUCGCAAUGUUUUUAGUGUCAAGGUUGUUGCUUUUGGGUGCACUGAGUUGAAAAUAUAGUGUGUUUGAACUUUUUUUUUCGAUACGAGACUCGCCCCCAUUUCCAUUCGAAGAACGGAUAUUAACCUGAUUCAGGCAAGAUACACUAAAACAGAGUUUAAACCCCUAGGUUUCCUAGAGGUACAAUUCUCUCACUACUUGGAUACACAAAAGGGAACCUCCACAACCACAUUAAGUAUGACUAACGGUCCGGGAAGACACUAAGCUCCUUUACGUCGCACUAAACUGCAAAGGAGAUGAAGACGGUUGUUGAUGCUUCAGGCUUCUGCUCCUCCAUUCCCAUCGCCCUCCUCACGCUGUUCCGGUGGUUCAGCUCAUAGUAGCCUCGUCCGAGGAGUCUAUUGCGCCAUCACCUUGUGCGUGCAUGCCAACAGUCUUGACGCCUUUCCAAUAGCUUGCCUUGAAAUUCAGAGUUGUACAAACCUGCCCAAUAGUUCAUAAAGGCACAGGCAUGGAUCAGAAUUUCAGAUGGAUUUCUCAGUAUAGCUCUCUUUUAAGUGUCUUUGUGAACAAAGAAGGAUGUGUUUGAAUUAUGGAUUAACUUUGACAAAAACUAUGCAACUAAUGGAAAAGGAAUCUAAUCCCAAUUUGGUGGGGAUUCCAAAUGAUGCUGCCCAACCAGGGCAUGGCACGGGGGGAACAGGGGCAAGUGCCAACCCACCCAACCCAACACACGGAUGCAUGCUUGGUGUGAGUGAAUAAGGACAUGCGAAAUCGGCUGAAAAGGAUGAGAUCGGAUUGGAGCAGCAGAGCUGCUGUUUCUUCUUCUUUAUACACUGUUAGUUAGGAGCAUAUUUUUUUUAGAUUAAGGGAAAAGGUUUUACAGCCUCUACACCGUAGACACACAUGGAUAGGAUAUGCAUCGCACGCUCGCUAUUUGCCACCGCGAUCGAUCCGCCGUCGACCAAAACACUCCUCAAUUGCGCUGCUAGCAUCGGCGGCAGCUAUUCACCUGAUGAUACGGAGCACCUGGACACCAGCUAGCCGACACACUGCCGGCUCAUGCACAGCAGCACUGGGUGCCAGCGCAAGGGGAAGGAAGGAAGAGCGGGAGCAAGACCGUGGACUCGUCGGCAAGGACAGACAGACCCGGUCGGCGGUCAUCGCUCCACUGGUCGCACGUGGAACACGGCAACUGGGUUGUGGUCUGAGUGUGAGCCUGGAGCUUCCGUUACGCGGGUUCCGUUGCUUUCUGCAGCCACAAGACUGACUCGGCGCAACUCUCUCUUAUAGGAAGGAGUAUGUGUCAGCGUCAGCCCAGGGCCCAGCAACAAGUCAGCGUCGCUCGUGCACCCGCAGUCUGCAGUCAGGCCUCCGCAUUUGACUGACCCAGUAAAAUUAUACUCCACUCCACUCCGGCACUACCCUCCCGGAUGCUCGUGCACUGCGUCGACUGCGUCCGGGUGAUGACUACUGAUGAGUCUCCUCCUCUCCUCCUGGCUCCAGGCUCCUACCACUCGCUCCCCCUACGUCUGCGUGGUUGGUGAGCAACGAACGAACGAUACGGAAACCAAAUGAGAAAUUUUGACUAGUUUUGCGACCGGUACGGGACAAGCGCAGGUGCACAGGACCUGGACUGGAACUGGAUGGAUGGCGGGCAGAGAGCGACUUGUGCCGUGCAGUGUCCCGAGAGAGUGCGAUUCCACUUGCAAUCAAUAGGCCGGCCGGCCAGCCAGCAGCGCGUGCAGAAUUCCUGAACGAAACCUCCUGGACGUACAUGCGCCUACAGGACGGAACGUCCUCACCACCAAACUCAACCCAACAAACCCAUACCAUACCAGGCAGCGCACCAAAUGGAAUGGAAGGAUGGCACCACACAGCAGAAUGCAUAUAUAUAUGUAGGGGAAGGCCACAGCUGCUAAUUUCCCUGGUCAUCAUGGGCGAGGAAGAAGAAGGUCCCUUCCGGUGGCUGGAGCAGCUUGCGGUUGUGCGGCGCGGCCAUCUCCUUCUUGAGCUGCGUCAGGAUGUGCUCCAUCGUGUACUCCCGCUGCCAGUCGGACAGCACCGCCAGCUUGCUGCCUUCCACCAGGCCGGUGUCCGGGUCGACGCAGGUGAGGUUGAUCCUCGAGUGGAACCGCACCGUGGGCGGCUUGUCGGGGUAGUCCUUGUCGCACAGCAGCUUCAGCUGGUAGAUGCGACCCUCGUGCACCGACUGCGCGCAUGCACAUGGUGGUCGAUGAGCUAGCUAAGCUAAUGGAUGAAUGGAUGAAGAAAAGCAACAACAUGCAUGAUGAUGCAGAUGAUACACCGCGUACGUACGUUGAGCGGGCCUAUGAUGGUUCCCGUCCACGAGCGCAUGAAGAUGUCGUCGCCGUCGUCCAUGCCGUAGCUGACGGUGCCGUCGCCGACGCCCUUCUCGCCGCGCUCCAGCUCCUCCAGCAGCCGGAAGUUGCGGGGCACUGCAUGCAGCAGCCAAGGUGAUGAGGCCCAGCCCACGCGCGCUUGGCUUGCUUGCAACAACAGAACGGGAAUGAAAGGGAGGAAGACAAGGAAAGGAAAUUAAGGUACCGACGACGCUGCUGGCGGAGGCGCCGGAGCCCAUCGUCAUCUUGUGUUGGCGGAACAGAGCAGAGGAGAGGAGAAGCACGGACGGCGUUGGGCAACCCGGGGCAUAAAAGGGGAACGAUGGGUGCGUUUGCCGCCGCUGCCACAGGGGAGGGGUGGUGCGUGCGAACCACGCACCGGCCGGCCGAGAUGCCCACUCCGCUCCUUUUUUUUCCUUUUUGUCAACGGGGGGCAUCGCACCGCAGCCAAACAAAGGCAGCGACAACAAGAGCCCCCGGAUGUCAUGGAGAGCUGCAGACAGAGGCCGUCUGAUUCGAAAGCGACGCGAUGCAGAUCAGAGACGGUUCGUUCGCUGCUACUCGUUGGGGUCGUUGCGUUUCUGGGCUGGGCCGCGCUCUCUGGGCCGGACAAAAAAUGGACCCUGAGAGACUGUUGCGGGCUCAUGUAACGUGCUCUUUGUGUCCGGGAAACCUACGUGGCUUCCGGAAGUUUUCUAGUUAUCUGGCCUCCGCUAGAUUCGUGCAACGCUUAACCUCUAUCAUCAGAUCCGCUCCGUCUUCUUCCACUGCUCCUACCCCGUGCCGCCGCCAACCCUGUCGGCUCGCUUUUCUAGCCGUGAGGAGUGAGAGAUGGAGGGAGCAGCUAGCGGCGAGGUCGCCGCCAGCCGGGGUGGUGGUUGAGGUGGCGGCACUUAAGGUUUCGGGUUUCUUGGGGAGCCGGGGCUCUAAUAGCCAAUGGCCUUAGAGGAGAAGGGCGGCGGCGGCGGCAAUUCGGCUGGCGGUGGAGGCGAGGCGUCGUGGGAGCGCCGCAAGCCGGGCAGGGCGGGGCAGGGCAUCUGGUGGUUGGAGGUUGGCAAUGGGAAAGAGGAAGCUUGCUAGGUUAGGUAAGGCAGGGUCGGAGGGGCGCCGGUGGAUGGUCAGCGGGCUAGCCGCCAGUCGGUCUGGUGGAUGAGGGGGUGGGGGUUGGUGGCGCGUCGGGAAAGAAGAAGGGUUGGAGCCUCGAGCAGAGUAUGAGCUGGCGCGUUGAGAAAGACAGCAACGGAUGGACCUCGUGGGCCUCUAAGUCACGACUCCUAUAUAGCUUCCACAAGCCAGAUACUCCCUUCAUUGGUUUUUGAUGGGAUAUUUCAUCUUGACACAAUGAUUAAGAAAAACAACUCUACUUAGGCCAGUCUCAAUGAGAAUGUCAUGGAGGUUUUUUAUUAAAUCUCAUGCCACAUUAGCAAAACUGCUGACUUGGUAGGCUAAUUAUGAGGAGAGAGGAAAAGAGAGUUUCAUCCCAUGAAAUCCACCUGUCACAGUUACCAAGUGCAUGAAACCCAAUGAAACUUGCACUAAGGAUGUUAUGGUUUCAUGGCACGACACAUUUGAUCAUAACACAAUACAAGAAUUAAAUGAUGCAGUCUAUCUAUGUAACUGUGCACUGAGACUGAUAAUUUCAUUUCAUUUAAAAGUUGACAUGGCACUCUUGAUAAUAGUGCGAUGAAAUCAUGCACUGAAACUGACCUUAUCAUCUAAUUAAUGCAAACAAGGUUUUUUCAUUAAUCCUCCAAUAGUGACUCCUCAUUGUUGAUGCAAUUUAUUGCCGUGGUCCACAUUACUGUCAAGCAGUACUAUCAUUUGUGAAAAUCUGAAUUUUGAAAAUAUCUCUAUUAAUGGAGAAUGGAGAGAGUAUUAAGAAGAGGGCGCUGGUUGCAUCAGCAACUCCACGAGGGAGGACAGGACAGACACGUAAAAGUGCAAUAAAGACGUGCAACCGUGGAGGCCUGUAUCGACUGGCAACAACACCUCGAGGCGACGGCGAGGCGGCCGGCGGCCGGCGGCUGUAUCGACCGUCCGAUGGAUCCCUGUCAAUUUUGUUUCUUUAGCUCGCUCGCUCACGCAGGCACGCACGCACGCAAAUAAAGCACGCGACGAAAGAGAAGUUGGCCUCGCAGCCACGGACGGUGGAGGCUAUAAAUGUGGGGGUGCUGAUGACCAGCUGACGUGCGAGCGUAGGUGCGACUCGAUUCCUGCUCUCAACUGCCCCUCCCCUGCAUCUCCCUAAUAAUUAUUAAGACGAUGAUGAUUUGCUAUUCCAUUCCAUGCAUGCAUCUCAAUCUCACCGGCCUGCCCAGCACCAGCAAUUAAGAUGCACACAAGCUACGCAUGAUCCCUCCCUCCCUAUUGCUCUGCUUAAUUAAGCAGGCUACCUAGCUGGAGGUUGAUUGGAUGGUCACAGGCUACUCCACCCAAAAUUUAAUUAAAAGUAGCUGCCAUUUAAUUCUACGAGUAUACAACAGGUAUUAGUACUAGCUAGCUGCUGCAGGUCGUCGUCUUCCUUUUCUUUUCUUUCCUCUUUGCAAAUAAAGCAACUAGGACUUGUUCAAAUAAAACACUCCUCUAGUACUCAACAGGAGAGGUGGGAAAUUAACCUUGAUCAAAGAACACAAGAGAGAGCUACUUGCAGCACUUGGGUUGAUCCAUAUGAUCCGUCGGCUAAAUUAAACUAACUCACAGCUGCAUCAUGGAUACAUGUACUUGCCUAAUAAUCUAGCUACAUCCUCCUUAUUAGCAAGCUAGCUAACUUAACUCGCCUCUGCUACUACGAGCUGAUAGAGGACGUACGAAAGAAGAAGAAGAAGGAAGAAGCUAAGAUCAAACUAGGAAGGGCAGCAACAAACACAUGACCGGUUAAAUUAGAGGGACACUGCAGAUCGAUCCCAAA
Molecule: long non-coding RNA, 22726 nt
Filed under: Setaria viridis
Lineage: Eukaryota; Viridiplantae; Streptophyta; Magnoliopsida; Poales; Poaceae
Description: long non-coding RNA (SVIR_LNC002510)
Source: RNAcentral